AUUAAACGCUGGCGGCAUGCCUUACACAUGCAAGUCGAACGGCAGCACGGGGGCAACCCUGGUGGCGAGUGGCGGACGGGUGAGUAAAGCAUCGGAACGUAUCCUGGAGUGGGGGAUAACGUAGCGAAAGUUACGCUAAUACCGCAUAUUCUGUGAGCAGGAAAGCAGGGGAUCGCAAGACCUUGCGCUCUGGGAGCGGCCGAUGUCGGAUUAGCUAGUUGGUGGGGUAAAGGCCUACCAAGGCGACGAUCCGUAGCGGGUCUGAGAGGAUGAUCCGCCACACUGGGACUGAGACACGGCCCAGACUCCUACGGGAGGCAGCAGUGGGGGAAUUUUGGGACAAUGGGCGGAAGCCUGAUCCAGCCAUGCCGCGUGAGUGAAGAAGGCCUCGG
RNAcentral lists this ribosomal RNA (392 nucleotides) under uncultured bacterium. Its description in RNAcentral is "bacterial SSU rRNA". It matches the Rfam family "Bacterial small subunit ribosomal RNA", at positions 29 to 420 of the family's 1533-position model. The record is from RNAcentral.